UAUAGAUAUUAACCGCUCUAACUUUUAACGUGAGAGCUCCGUUGCUAAAAUUUACUUCGCAAAUAAUAGUAUAGAUUAUAAAAUAUUCAAAUAUGCCAUUCAUCAGAUUAUAAGCAUACUACUAGAUUUGAUAUGUGCUUCAAAAGGGCAGAUUUUUUAGAUUAUAAAUAAAUUUUGAUAUGAAUUAGUAUUUUGGAACUGUUGUGCAUUAUUGUGUUACAAAUUCAGAUUAUAUCGAAGAAGUGAAUUUUUUAAAUAAAAAUAUAUAAGUUAUGAAUUAGUUUAUUUGAGAUUGUGUAUUUACACUGUUAUGUAUUUCUCUCCUAAACAUGGAUAUUUUAUCCGGACCCAAAAAACAAUCUGAAACCGAUCCGAAAUCCAGGUUCUCUUCGGGGUUGGGUCAAGGGAAAAGUACCUAUUGUGUAUUUUGGACAUGCGGGUCUUUGUUCGAGUACGAAUCCUAUCCGAGAUUCGAUUGGGUAACCAAAGUACCCAAAAUGUUUUGUGUUAUUAAGUAUAUUUGGAUCUUUUGAAUAUAUUUUUGGUAUAACUGAUAUUUUGAAGUUAUGGGUUCAGGAUUAUAGUUUUGGGUUUCGAGUAAAAUUUCAAGAUCUAAAAAAUAUAUUUUGGGUAUGUGUAUAAAAUUUUAGGUAUUUUUUGUUUUCUUGGGUCAGGGUAAAUAUUUGUAUUUUUGCAUAUUUGAAUAUUUUUGGGUAAUUUUUGGAUUUUCAGAUAUUUUUUGGUGUUUUUAGCAUAUUUCAGGUACUUCGAAUCUUUUCGGGUCUUGAAUCCCUGAACUGAUUUGUUACGUACCCAAAAGUCCAGGUAUUUGAAUUAUGAACUCGGAUCCACACGGACCUGAAAGAAACCUACCCGAAUCUAAACCAAAAAUGAUCAGAUACCUAGUUAGGUCGAAAAUUCUAGGAUCUGUACGUAAAACCCGGAGCGAAAAUGAACCAGUCCGUACUUGAUCUGAAAACCCAUAUGCCGAAGCCAACUCUCUUUCAUUAUAUUUUGUAUGCGUUUUAUAAGAGUUGCAUUGGUUGAGUUGGUGAAAUUUAAGAUUUGCUUAACAUAUAUUUGGCUAAUUUAAUAAUAUAAAAUAAUAUAAAUUUAUAUGAUUUUUAAUAUUUUUAAACUUAUAUUAAAUAAUAAAAUUUUAGUUAACGUAAUAUAUAUAAUUUUUUAACAGAGUUUUCUAAAGUGUUUUUUUUUAUCAAUUUUGAUUUUGUAAAUAUUUGAUAUCUAAAUAUUGUAGGUCUAUUAUUGAGUAUAUGAUUAUUAUUUUUUGAAAAUGGGUUUUCAUUUUGAGCACAUGAUUCAUAAAAGCUAUCUUAUUUCUGAAAGAUCUCACAUUAAAUAAAAGUUUUUGUAAGGUUAAGAUGAAAAAAAUCAAAAUAAACGUUUUGAAAAGAUCUUGAUUAAAGAUUUAACAUAUCUCAAAUUUUUGAGUCAAAUGAUAUACCCAUACUUUUGUUUAACAAAACCGACAGGAAUACGUGGACUUGAAAUAUUUUAACAGAAUAAAAAAGUUAUGUAUGAUUGCAGCUGAUAUUUUUUUGGUUUGAAGUAUUUUGUAGUGUGGUUAUGUGUGGAUUUAAGUGAAAGAAUUGAUCAAAAUAUAAAUUCUGAAAUAAUUGUUUCCUUUUAUAAUUAUUAUAUUUGUGAAUAAAUAUGUUGAAGAACAAAUUGAUAAUUCCUAGAGACAUAUAUUUGUUAAGUUUCUAGAUUGCAUUGUAAUCUCUAAUCCAAAAUUUUCUUAAAUUUUGAAGGGAAAACUGUUUUUUUAGAGUAAAAAAAUGGUAAGUAUGUUCCUUUAGACUAAUCUAUACUACUAAUCCAUGCUUCCGUGUAAGUCGUCUAGAAAAAAAUCAAAAUUUAUGUUUUAUUUUUCAAUUGCAACACUAACCUGAGACGACUUCUAGAUAUAACAAAAAUAUUUUGACAACUUACAUUGAAAUCGUCUAGAUAUAACUAACCUGAGACUACUUACAUACUCAUCUAUGUUAUAGACUAUUCAAUUUUAUUAUAUUUUAAUUUAUAUCACUUAAAACUGUUUAUAAUUACAUGAUUUUAAUUUUUCACUUGUCAAAAUAUUUUUUUUAAAAAUUAUAGAUUAUUUUUAAGAUCAAGUAUACCAGAAGACUUACAUGGACGUCAUCUAGACGAUGUACAAUAUCUCAGAAGCCUCAUAAGACUUUACGGGGCUAUAUUUGUAAAAAUGAGUUCUGUUUUUUGUUUGGUCACAAGGGACUGACUGUAAUUUCACAAGACUUUUGGGUUAUUUUGCACUUGAUUCAAGUUUGGAUAUACUUUUGCAAUUAAAGUCAAGUUUUGAGUCAUAUUUGGAAAAUUUCCCAAAUUAUUAUCAUUUUUCAUAAAUACCUUAAGUUUGUUAUUAAAUGACAAAAUUAACCCUCCCAAAACAUUUAUAAAUGUAUAAGAAUUAUUUAUAAAGGUUUAUAAACUAAACUUCACCACCUAAAUAUUAAAUCCAAACAAUAAUCUUAAACACUAAGCUCAAAAUGUUAAGAUAUCUUUUAUUGAGUUUAUUUUUAAAAAUGGUAUCCAAUUUACUGUAUUUCAAGCACUUUUUCAAAUAAAAUUUUUAUUACAAAAUUAUUUCGCAAGUACAAAAUGUUAUAGUUUCUUUUUUAAAAAAAUAAGUUUUGUUGUUUUUAAUAGUAUCCAAAAUUUUCUUCUCUGUCAUGUAGGUUCAUUUUAAUUUAAUUUACAUAUAAAUUUCAAAUUUUAGAAAUAGAACAUAAAAUUAUUUAAAAUAGUAUUUUUACAUAAUACUAAUGCUUACAAAAUAUUUUUUCUUACAAAAUACAAAAAAAUGUAAAAUAGUAUUGUUACAUUAUAACGUUAUAUAAAUUAUAAUAUUUUAGUAUAGAAAGAAAAACCCUCACGGAUGUAUGGGACAAGAUCUAUUAAUUAGUUAAAAAUGCAUUAAUAACCAAAAUUUAAAAUAUUUUUUUAAGAUGUGUGAAAAUUCUAAAACUUAUAUUUUUGGAACAUGGGAAAUAUAAAAUAGAUAAUCACAGAAAAUUAUGAAUUUAUAACUAAAAAUUAAUAUGUUUUAUUAAUAUGUGUGAAAAUUAUAAAACAAUCAUUAUUUUAAAAUAGAGGGUAUGUUAAUUUGAUUAUAAAUGCAUUAUUUUUUUGUAACUUAGGUAUUUUUACAAAUUUAGCCAAUAAAAUUUUAAUAAAUACAAUUAUUUUUUUCAAAGUUUACAGUUCACCAUUAUUACCUAAUAAAAGUAUAUCGUAAAUGUAAAAAAAAAAUACUUUUUAAAACAUUUUUUUCUAAAAUAUAGUUUGUUUUUAAACUGAGAGAGUAUACAUUUAAAAGAUUUUGUAGAUGUGUCACGGUUAUAGUUUUGUGCAACAUGGAAGUAGUAUGCACUAUGCAGCUCUAGUGAUAUGGAUAGCGUAAAAAACAGUUGAAAAAGUUAUUAAACCCAAUAAGUAGCAUUAGCAUAAUCCAUUAUCACCAAUUACCAAGUUGACUAAAAUUAAAGAUUCUCCCCAAAUUUUUUUUGAAGUUUUCCUUGAUUUACUCAUUACCUCUUCCAUUUAAAUUGCCUUUUAAUAUAUUUUUUUUUGCUAAAUUAGCCUUUUAAUAUUCUUCAUUGAAUCAGUUUCAAAUAUUAACUUUAACGUCCGGCCUCUCUUAUAUAUAACUAUAUUUAAAAGGAUAUUUCAGUAAAGAUUUCUUGUUUUCAGAAAUUUGUGAUUUUUUUUUUUUUGUAAAAAUGGUUGAAGGAAUAUUGUCUAAGGCAUUUUGGGUUGCUUGUGCCACGGUAUUUGCAGCUGCAACGGUGGUUUACGGGCAACAAGUGCCAUAUUACUUCAUCUUCGGAGAUUCAACUUUUGAUAGUGGCAACAAUAAUAACUUGCAAUCUAAGGCAAAAGUUAACUAUUCACCUUACGGUAUAGACUUUCCCGGAGGCCCGACCGGCCGGUUUACCAAUGGCCGCACUAUCGCAGAUGUUAUCGGUUAGUCUAUAUAUGGUCUCAGGUUGAGUAACUUUACAUUAAUGAUCUUCGAUAUAUUAUUUCAGAAUUUAGAUGAAAGACAUGAACAAAUGAAACAAGGGGAAAUUUUACUUUUACACUUUGUUUGAUACCAUAAUUCAACUUUACCAUCACUCUAGAAACAUUUUCAUAAAUACCUAAAUCAUUAAUGGCCAAAUGACUAAACUAACCUUUUUCAAUUUAUCUCUGAUUUUUCCAAUCUCGUCUUCUUCGUCAAGCUUCGGUGCCAUCUUCAUCGAGUCUCGCCGUCGCCGUAUUCAAGAGGCGGCGCUGCUGCUCCUUCCUCCUGAACAGUGUUCUCUCUCCUCUUAUCUCUCAGCUCCGAUGAAUCCUCCCUCCAGCUCCCGCGAUGACGCGUCUUCAGCAAAUCCCGAUGGUGUCCUUCCUGCUUUCUUCUUCUGCACCGACGACUCAGACAGCUCAGCUCAACCAUGGCGUUCACCUAAGUUUGAAGAAUCCCUCAGUUGCACGUGGUUACGAUGGGGAUGGACUUGAGGGUUGUUCCGGCAGAGGAGUGGUGGGAAGAAUGAGGGAGAGAUUCUAGCCUCGAUGGUGAAAGUGACCUAGGCCUUAUGGUUACGGAUUUUCUCGAGAUGGGAGGUGGUGGAAGCGGUGGUGACCUAGGCCUUAUGGUUACGGAUUUUCCGGAUCCUUCUUACCUUUCCGAUAAGAUUCAGAAUAAACGUACAGCAAAGAACAUCAUUGAUUUUGUCAUCUGUACAUAGUUGCUAAUCACAUUCCAAUGGAUAGCACUUGCCUAGAGAAUUGUUUCCAGUGUGCUCUCUUCUGAUGCUUAUAAUGUUCUUGCAACUUCACACCCCUUUGUGGCUGAGGAUUUCCUCACAAUUUCAAGGCUCAUCAAAAUGGUGUAUGAUCACCUUUGUAGCCAAGUUUCUUGCUGCUCUUUAUGCCUUUAUUACUGCAGCAUGUUCGGGUAGCAGUUCACCGAGUGUCUCCUCUGAUUCCCGUGGCUUCAUCUCACCAAUU
This is a long non-coding RNA of Brassica napus (rape), 5028 nucleotides long. RefSeq lists it as uncharacterized. The record is from RefSeq and is a predicted model, not a curated record. Lineage: Eukaryota; Viridiplantae; Streptophyta; Magnoliopsida; Brassicales; Brassicaceae. The transcript has 3 exons.